This is a non-coding RNA of Saimiri boliviensis boliviensis (Bolivian squirrel monkey), 192 nucleotides long. The record is from RefSeq and is a predicted model, not a curated record. Lineage: Eukaryota; Metazoa; Chordata; Mammalia; Primates; Cebidae.
CUGCCUCAGUCUCCCAAAGUGCUAGGAUUACAGAAGCAAGCCCCCGAGUCCCAAGUUGGUGCCAGCUGCAUCUGCUGCUCCCUUUUGACAAGCAAACAAGCCAGAGCUGCUCAGGCAGCUCAGUAGCAUGAGGAAGAGUCAGGGGCACAGAGAGAUGGAUGGAGACCUAAAAUUAGCUUGCUGGUUUUAUGC